AUGCCCUAUAGUAUCUUUUUAAGGCACCUUAUUAAGAUUAAAGGUUACGGUAUGAGAUGAGUAUGCGUUCUAUUAGCUAGUAGGUGGGUACCCCCACACCUAGGCUACGAUAGAUAGGGGCCCUGAGAGGGGGAUCCCCCACACUGGUACUGAGACAC
This 158-nucleotide ribosomal RNA is filed under the name uncultured bacterium. Its description in RNAcentral is "partial 16S ribosomal RNA". It matches the Rfam family "Bacterial small subunit ribosomal RNA", at positions 166 to 327 of the family's 1533-position model. The record is from RNAcentral.